CCUACGGGGAGCUGCAGUGGGGAAUAUUGGACAAUGGGCGAAAGCCUGAUCCAGCCAUGCCGCGUGUGUGAAGAAGGCCUUCGGGUUGUAAAGCACUUUCAGUGGGGAAGAAAGCCUUGGGGCUAAUACCCUCGAGGAAGGACAUCACCCACAGAAGAAGCACCGGCUAACUCCGUGCCAGCAGCCGCGGUAAUACGGAGGGUGCGAGCGUUAAUCGGAAUUACUGGGCGUAAAGAGCGCGUAGGCGGUCUGAUAAGCCGGUUGUGAAAGCCCCGGGCUCAACCUGGGAACGGCAUCCGGAACUGUCAGGCUAGAGUGCAGGAGAGGAAGGUAGAAUUCCCGGUGUAGCGGUGAAAUGCGUAGAGAUCGGGAGGAAUACCAGUGGCGAAGGCGGCCUUCUGGACUGACACUGACGCUGAGGUGCGAAAGCGUGGGUAGCAAACAGGAUUAGAUACCCCAGUAGUC
Molecule: ribosomal RNA, 465 nt
Filed under: Vreelandella stevensii
Lineage: Bacteria; Pseudomonadati; Pseudomonadota; Gammaproteobacteria; Oceanospirillales; Halomonadaceae
Description: partial 16S ribosomal RNA
Rfam family: Bacterial small subunit ribosomal RNA
Source: RNAcentral